AGUGAACGCUGGCGGUAGGCCUAACACAUGCAAGUCGAACGGCAGCACAGUAAGAGCUUCCUCUUACGGGUGGCGAGUGGCGGACGGGUGAGGAAUACAUCGGAAUCUACUUUUUCGUGGGGGAUAACGUAGGGAAACUUACGCUAAUACCGCAUACGACCUACGGGUGAAAGCAGGGGAUCUUCGGACCUUGCGCGAUUGAAUGAGCCGAUGUCGGAUUAGCUAGUUGGCGGGGUAAAGGCCCACCAAGGCGACGAUCCGUAGCUGGUCUGAGAGGAUGAUCAGCCACACUGGAACUUGGACACGGUCCAGACUCCUACGGGAGGCAGCAGUGGGGAAUAUUGGACAAUGGGCGCAAGCCUGAUCCAGCCAUACCGCGUGGGUGAAGAAGGCCUUCGGGUUGUAAAGCCCUUUUGUUGGGAAAGAAAAGCAGCAGGUUAAUACCCCGCUGUUCUGACGGUACCCAAAGAAUAAGCACCGGCUAACUUCGUG
Molecule: ribosomal RNA, 492 nt
Filed under: uncultured bacterium
Lineage: Bacteria
Description: partial 16S ribosomal RNA
Rfam family: Bacterial small subunit ribosomal RNA
Source: RNAcentral